This 1373-nucleotide ribosomal RNA is filed under the name uncultured bacterium. Its description in RNAcentral is "bacterial SSU rRNA". It matches the Rfam family "Bacterial small subunit ribosomal RNA", at positions 28 to 1396 of the family's 1533-position model. The record is from RNAcentral.
GAUGAACUCUAGCUACAGGCUUAACACAUGCAAGUCGAGGGGCAGCAUGGUCUUAGCUUGCUAAGGCCGAUGGCGACCGGCGCACGGGUGAGUAACACGUAUCCAACCUGCCGUCUACUCUUGGACAGCCUUCUGAAAGGAAGAUUAAUACAAGAUGGCAUCAUGAGUCCGCAUGUUCACAUGAUUAAAGGUAUUCCGGUAGACGAUGGGGAUGCGUUCCAUUAGAUAGUAGGCGGGGUAACGGCCCACCUAGUCUUCGAUGGAUAGGGGUUCUGAGAGGAAGGUCCCCCACAUUGGAACUGAGACACGGUCCAAACUCCUACGGGAGGCAGCAGUGAGGAAUAUUGGUCAAUGGGCGAGAGCCUGAACCAGCCAAGUAGCGUGAAGGAUGACUGCCCUAUGGGUUGUAAACUUCUUUUAUAAAGGAAUAAAGUCGGGUAUGGAUACCCGUUUGCAUGUACUUUAUGAAUAAGGAUCGGCUAACUCCGUGCCAGCAGCCGCGGUAAUACGGAGGAUCCGAGCGUUAUCCGGAUUUAUUGGGUUUAAAGGGAGCGUAGAUGGAUGUUUAAGUCAGUUGUGAAAGUUUGCGGCUCAACCGUAAAAUUGCAGUUGAUACUGGAUAUCUUGAGUGCAGUUGAGGCAGGCGGAAUUCGUGGUGUAGCGGUGAAAUGCUUAGAUAUCACGAAGAACUCCGAUUGCGAAGGCAGCCUGCUAAGCUGCAACUGACAUUGAGGCUCGAAAGUGUGGGUAUCAAACAGGAUUAGAUACCCUGGUAGUCCACACGGUAAACGAAGAAUACUCGCUGUUGCGGAUAUACAGCAAGCGGCCAAGCGAAAGCGUUAAGUAUUCCACCUGGGGAGUACGCCGGCAACGGUGAAACUCAAAGGAAUUGACGGGGGCCCGCACAAGCGGAGGAACAUGUGGUUUAAUUCGAUGAUACGCGAGGAACCUUACCCGGGCUUAAAUUGCAGAUGAAUUACGGUGAAAGCCGUAAGCCGCAAGGCAUCUGUGAAGGUGCUGCAUGGUUGUCGUCAGCUCGUGCCGUGAGGUGUCGGCUUAAGUGCCAUAACGAGCGCAACCCUUGUUGUCAGUUACUAACAGGUCAUGCUGAGGACUCUGACAAGACUGCCAUCGUAAGAUGUGAGGAAGGUGGGGAUGACGUCAAAUCAGCACGGCCCUUACGUCCGGGGCUACACACGUGUUACAAUGGGGGGUACAGAGGGCCGCUACCACGCGAGUGGAUGCCAAUCCCAAAAACCUCUCUCAGUUCGGACUGGAGUCUGCAACCCGACUCCACGAAGCUGGAUUCGCUAGUAAUCGCGCAUCAGCCACGGCGCGGUGAAUACGUUCCCGGGCCUUGCACACACCGCCCG